UUAAUGGAGAGUUUGAUCCUGGCUCAGGACGAACGCUGGCGGCAUGCCUAAUACAUGCAAGUCGAGCGGACUUGAAGAGAAGCUU
This 85-nucleotide ribosomal RNA is filed under the name Saccharibacillus sp. WB 17. RNAcentral describes it as "partial 16S ribosomal RNA". It matches the Rfam family "Bacterial small subunit ribosomal RNA", at positions 1 to 85 of the family's 1533-position model. Lineage: Bacteria; Bacillati; Bacillota; Bacilli; Caryophanales; Paenibacillaceae. The record is from RNAcentral.